RNAcentral lists this ribosomal RNA (433 nucleotides) under uncultured bacterium. RNAcentral describes it as "partial 16S ribosomal RNA". It matches the Rfam family "Bacterial small subunit ribosomal RNA", at positions 29 to 507 of the family's 1533-position model. The record is from RNAcentral.
AACGAACGCUGUGGCCAUGCCUUACACAUGCAAGCCGAACGAGACCUUCGGGUUUCGUGGCGCACGGGUGCCUAACGCGUGGGAACUUGCCUUUAGGUUCGGAAUAACUCCGGGAACUUUGAGCCAAUACCGGAUCAUGUCUUCGGACCAAAGAUUUAUCGCCUUUAGAUAGACCCGCGUUAGUUUAGCUUGCUGGUGGGGUAAAGGCCUACCACGGCGAAGAUCCAUAGCUGGUCUGAGAGGUAGAUCAGCCACACUAGGACUGAGACACCGCCCAGGCUCCUACACGAGGCAGCAGUUGGGAAUAUUGAACAAUGUCCGCAAGCAUGAUCGAACAAGGCCGCGUGAGUGAUGAAUGCCGUAGCGGUGUAAAGCUCGUUGACCUAAGCGGAUAAUGACAGUAACGGGAGGAAAAGCGCCGGCCAAGUCCAGG